AGCUCUGGUUUCGAGAAGAGACGACCUGCCACACCUGAACUGAAACCGCUCCAAUCCUACGAGCAGCAUGGGGAUUUGACAUGGGGCACUGAUCAGCAUCGCGUGAGUGAGAGCUUCGGUGUAAAGCUCUUCGCAGACGAAAAGGCUCUCUCUAACAAUAGGGAGUCAAUGACGGUACUGAAGAAGAAGCACCGGCUAACUACGUGCCAGCAGCCGCGGUAAUACGUAGGGUGCGAGCGUUAAUCGGAAUUACUGGGCGUAAAGCGUGCGCAGGCGGUUUUGUAAGACAGAUGUGAAAUCCCCGGGCUUAACCUGGGAACUGCGUUUGUGACUGCAAGACUUGAGUGCAGCAGAAGGGGGUGGAAUUCCACGUGUAGCAGUGAAAUGCGUAGAGAUGUGGAAGAACACCGAUGGCGAAGGCAGCCCCCUGGGUUGACACUGACGCUCAUGCACGAAAGCGUGGGUAGCAAACAGGAUUAGAUACCCUGGUAGUCCACGCCCUAAACGAUGCGAACUAGGUGUUGGAGAAGGAGACUUCUUUAGUACCGCAGCUAACGCGUGAAGUUCGCCGCCUGGGGAGUACGGUCGCAAGAUUAAAACUCAAAGGAAUUGACGGGGACCCGCACAAGCGGUGGAUGAUGUGGAUUAAUUCGAUGCAACGCGAAAAACCUUACCUACCCUUGACAUGCCUGGAAUCCUGCUGAGAGGUGGGAGUGCCCGAAAGGGAACCGGGACACAGGUGCUGCAUGGCUGUCGUCAGCUCGUGUCGUGAGAUGUUGGGUUAAGUCCCGCAACGAGCGCAACCCUUGUCAUUAGUUGCCAUCAUUUAGUUGGGCACUCUAAUGAGACUGCCGGUGACAAACCGGAGGAAGGUGGGGAUGACGUCAAGUCCUCAUGGCCCUUAUGGGUAGGGCUUCACACGUCAUACAAUGGUCGGUACAGAGGGCUGCCAACCCGCGAGGGGGAGCCAAUCCCAGAAAGCCGAUCGUAGUCCGGAUUGGAGUCUGCAACUCGACUCCAUGAAGUCGGAAUCGCUAGUAAUCGUGGAUCAGCAUGUCACGGUGAAUACGUUCCCGGGUCUUGUACACACCGCCCGUCACACCAUGGGAGUGGGUUUCACCAGAAGUAGGUAGCCUAACCGCAAGGAGGGCGCUUACCACGGUGGGAUUCAUGACUGGGGUGAAGUCGUAACAAGGUAGCCG
Molecule: ribosomal RNA, 1202 nt
Filed under: denitrifying bacterium enrichment culture clone NOB_3_A3
Lineage: Bacteria
Description: partial 16S ribosomal RNA
Rfam family: Bacterial small subunit ribosomal RNA
Source: RNAcentral